UUCAACUCUAUGUUCAAGAAAUUAGUAUUCCUAGUGUUUAAAAAAUCUGAUUUAGAUUAAAAUCUGGUUCUUGAUCUCAAUUAGAAUUGAUUUUUUUCUUAGAGAACCUUUUUACCAUAUUUUGCCCAGAAUCUACUUGGAUAUUUAUUAAUUUGAUCAUACCAAUCGUCAUUGUUGAGAACUGGAGUGCUGAUUGGGAAUGCAUAAUAACCCAUAGAUCAUGAUGGUAAAGGCUUAUUUGGUUUACACCUAAGUACAAUUUAGAACAUAAAUGCCAUUUCAACUUUUGGAAGCCAUUUAUCUAGGACCAAAGGUUUGCAAUUCAAGGGGAAAACAAAAUGUUUUUCAAAUGUUUGGAAACAAAAUGGUAAGAAUCCAAAAAUAGAGAACAAAUUGUGAUAGAAGAAAAAUGCAUAUUUUACAAAUUUAUAUUUUUUUUAUAAUUUAUAUUUUUAUUCAUUUGAGGAAAAAGAGCGUCAAGCAGCUCGAACAUUGGAACAAAAAGAGCAAAAAGAUUAUCAUUAACAUUAAUAAUUGGCUUCAUUAAUUUAUUACCCUUGUUUGGCCAUGAAUAUUCAUAAUAAAAUUAUUUAAAAUGCUGUAUCGAUUAAUUUUUGAGAAAUUCACUCAUCUAGGAAGAAUAAUUGAAGAUAAUUAAUGAUACACUUCCAUUAUCAAAUAAUAUAGUUAUGUAUCCCGUCAUGUCAAUGAUCUAUUUAGAAUGCCUAUCAAAUGGAGGAUAAUCGACACACUAUGGUAAAUUGGAUCAUUUCUAAUGCUAAUUAAUUCAUAUGCCAAUGCUUAUGAGCAUUGUAAAAUAAACUUCCGGCGCUUCACAAAGCAUCACAAAACCAUCAGAAAUGAAAGUAUGAAAAAUUAUUUAUUGAUGCUUCCUUUUCGCAUUGUAAAGAGUGAAUGCUGCAAUCUAACGACACUUUAAAGCAUCAACUAAUUCCAAAUAAAUGAUGCUUCUGUGUGUCAUUAGUUCAUAU
RNAcentral lists this long non-coding RNA (992 nucleotides) under Elaeis guineensis (African oil palm). RNAcentral describes it as "long non-coding RNA (EGUI_LNC034049)". Lineage: Eukaryota; Viridiplantae; Streptophyta; Magnoliopsida; Arecales; Arecaceae. The record is from RNAcentral.